AACUUCUUUUGCAGGGGAAUAAAGUGCAGGACGUGUCCUGUUUUGCAUGUACCGUGAGAAUAAGGAUCGGCUAACUCCGUGCCAGCAGCCGCGGUAAUACGGAGGAUCCGAGCGUUAUCCGGAUUUAUUGGGUUUAAAGGGUGCGUAGGUGGUUUGAUAAGUCAGCGGUGAAAGUUUGCAGCUUAACUGUAAAAAUGCCGUUGAAACUGUCUGACUUGAGUGUAAAUGAGGUAGGCGGAAUGCGUGGUGUAGCGGUGAAAUGCAUGCAU
RNAcentral lists this ribosomal RNA (269 nucleotides) under uncultured bacterium. RNAcentral describes it as "partial 16S ribosomal RNA". It matches the Rfam family "Bacterial small subunit ribosomal RNA", at positions 428 to 695 of the family's 1533-position model. The record is from RNAcentral.